CCGUGCUAGGCGGGGAGUUAGCGGUGCCCUCCACCCGAAAUCCGCUCAGCGGGGCACAAUUCCCGUCCGAGGGGCUCAUCCCGGGUGGUCGGGCUCGAGCAGUGCGGUGUUGAUGGCGAGGUCCCAUUCGGUGGGCGACCGUGAAUCAGGUCAGGUCCGGAAGGAAGCAGCCUUAAGCGGAUCCGCCUUCGCGCAGUGGGGCAACCUCACCGGAGCAAGCAGCUCGAGUACCGUCUCGGAAUGACGUUUCAACGACGGGUGCACGG
This 266-nucleotide signal recognition particle RNA is filed under the name Thermoleophilia bacterium. RNAcentral's name for it is "signal recognition particle sRNA large type". It matches the Rfam family "Bacterial large signal recognition particle RNA". From Rfam's summary of the family: The signal recognition particle (SRP) is a universally conserved ribonucleoprotein involved in the co-translational targeting of proteins to membranes. Archaeal SRP consists of a 7S RNA and homologues of the eukaryotic SRP19 and SRP54 proteins. Lineage: Bacteria; Bacillati; Actinomycetota; Thermoleophilia. RNAcentral also lists the same sequence under 1 other name. The record is from RNAcentral.